UUAAGGCCUUACAGUCUAGUAGAACUGAGUUUUAAAAUGACAUAAAAAUGUUGAAGAAAUGCCAGAACGCCUUUUUCGAUAGCUUAAAAAUAACUGAUGCUACUUAACGUCUGAAACAGUUAAAACAUAUCAAAUCCGAGCUAGAUGUUGCAAGGGGAGAGGAGUCAUCGGUGCUACCGAGAGUAAAAUAUAACAAAAAGAAAGUAACAGAACGAAAAAUAAUCAAUAUAUUUGGAAACAUAUCGUACCGAGGAAUAGUAGUUUACAGUGUAGAACAGACACCAAAGAAAGGGCCUAGAGAACAGCCAACAAAGGCACUGUACAGAUACGCAUGCAACCUUUGUGGGUAAGAAUACUGUCAUAUUGGUGUUAAAUGUGAGAUGUUUAGAUAUGACACAGUUCUUUGAGAAACCACCCGUUUUAAGAAUAC
Mytilus californianus (California mussel) is the source of this 430-nucleotide long non-coding RNA. RefSeq lists it as uncharacterized. The transcript has 3 exons. NCBI's taxonomy places the organism in Eukaryota, Metazoa, Mollusca, Bivalvia, Mytilida, Mytilidae. The record is from RefSeq and is a predicted model, not a curated record.